This 1123-nucleotide ribosomal RNA is filed under the name Thaumamermis zealandica. Its description in RNAcentral is "eukaryotic LSU rRNA". It matches the Rfam family "Eukaryotic large subunit ribosomal RNA", at positions 59 to 932 of the family's 3401-position model. Lineage: Eukaryota; Metazoa; Nematoda; Enoplea; Mermithida; Mermithidae. The record is from RNAcentral.
AAGAAACUAACUAGAAUUUUCUCAGUAACUGCGAGUGAAAAGAAAAGAGCUCAUCGCUGAAUCCGUUUGGCAUUAAUUGCCGAAUGGAAUUGUAGCGUAUGCGCGUGUCUGUCUAGUGAUUUGAUGGUUUCGUAAGCUUCCUUGAUUGGAAUCCCAUAGCGGGUGGAAGGCCCGUUACGAAACAAUUCUCACUGGUAGGAUACGCGUUAGAGUCGGGUUGCUUGAAAGUGCAGCCCAAAGUUGGUGGUAAAUUCCAUCUAAAGCUAAAUACGACCGCGAGACCGAUAGCGAACAAGUACCGUGAGGGAAAGUUGAAAAGAACUUUGAAGAGAGAGUUCAAAAGGGCGUGAAACUGCUUAGAAGUAAACGGGUAAAGCCGCGAGACAGUCGCGAAAAUCAGUCGUUUGAUUGAGGAAAUCGAUACUCUGUACGGCCAGCGCGUUCACGUGGUCGUCGGGGCGAAAGAGUACUUGGUCGGCGACGCAUUUUUCGUGGCGCGCUAUCGCAACCAAAGUCAAUUCCCGUCGAAGCUCGAGUUUGAAGGCGGACUCGUCGACAGUUUUGUUGGCGUUGACCGUGUCUAGACUCUUGUUCACCGACGCGAUUUGGUAAUUGAUUUUGCGUUUUUUCUUAAAAAAUGUCGUAGUCGGCUUUCGCAUCGUGUGGUUGAGUCGGUUGGUCUGAAAUGUCAUUUUCCAUUCGUGGGACUUGACGACUCCCGAUUCGCGCUUCGAACCACGCGGCGACAAAGUCGGAGUUAUAUGCUACGUAGAUUGGCGAUAUUUGCAGCGGUCGCUUACCCGACCCGUCUUGAAACACGGACCAAGGAGUCUAACAUAUGCGCGAGUUUGUAAGUCGAUUUUAAACUUACGAGCGAAAUGAAAGUAAAGGUGCGUUUUGGCGUGCCGAGAUACGAUCCGUCGUGCAUUCGCGUGUACGGCGGCGGAGUAUCGUCCCGUCUAUAUGCCACGAGCAUUCGGCGGAGAAUGAGCGUAUAUGUUGGGACCCGAAAGAUGGUGAACUAUGCUUGAGCAGAACGAAGCCAGAGGAAACUCUGGUGGAGGUUCGUAGCGGUUCUGACGUGCAAAUCGAUCGUCAGACUUGAGUAUAGGGGCGAAAGACU